This 72-nucleotide transfer RNA is filed under the name Ixodes scapularis (black-legged tick). RNAcentral's name for it is "tRNA-Phe". The stretch from base 4 to 67 matches the Rfam family "tRNA", at positions 5 to 66 of the family's 71-position model. From Rfam's summary of the family: Transfer RNA (tRNA) molecules are approximately 80 nucleotides in length. Their secondary structure includes four short double-helical elements and three loops (D, anti-codon, and T loops). The record is from RNAcentral. Lineage: Eukaryota; Metazoa; Arthropoda; Arachnida; Ixodida; Ixodidae.
GCCGGUUAGCUCAGUUGGUAGAGCGCUCCACUGAAAAUGAACAAGUCUCUGGUUCAAUACCAGGACCAGACG